UACAAACCAAGUUCAUGGCACAACUUGACAGAUACUCAGCUGACCUAACCAAGCAAGAGAGGCGGGGCUGCUGGGAAGAUUAGACACAUCAUGGAGAGGAAGGCUCAGUGUGAUGACAUAAACUACAGACGAGAACGUGUCCUAAGAAGCCUCUGUGUCUACCUCAAUGAGAAUGAUGAAACUCUCAUCAAUGAAUACAUGAAUCGCAACGUGGAAGAAGCGGACAGGGAGUCGGCCACCAUUAAGACUUCAUGUCGUCCGGAAAGAGGGUGCUGAUGCAGGGGAAGAGCCUUAGCAUGUCAGAGUGGUGAACGAGGGUGUGGAGCUGCUGAGCAACCUGGGAAGCGUUUCUUUUUGAUUUUCCAUGCUUUUUGGACUGAUUUACUGUCUCAACAUGAGCUACCCACAAGAGCUCAAAUUCACAUUUGAGUUCCUCCAGAAGGUGCUGAUGAACUUGGAUGGCAACAAUCUUUCUCCUAAGGUUCAAGGUUCAAAUUAAGAUGCUCCAGUGAACUCACUUAUAGGUCUGAAGGCCUCAUGUUUUAAAAUUUAUUUUAGA
This is a long non-coding RNA of Osmerus eperlanus (European smelt), 559 nucleotides long. RefSeq lists it as uncharacterized. The record is from RefSeq and is a predicted model, not a curated record. Lineage: Eukaryota; Metazoa; Chordata; Actinopteri; Osmeriformes; Osmeridae. The transcript has 3 exons.